Molecule: ribosomal RNA, 478 nt
Filed under: uncultured bacterium
Lineage: Bacteria
Description: partial 16S ribosomal RNA
Rfam family: Bacterial small subunit ribosomal RNA
Source: RNAcentral
GAUGAACGCUGGCGGCGUGCCUAACACAUGCAAGUCGAACGGAGUCCAGCCUUUAAGACCUUCGGGUCAAAGAGGGGAAGACUGAGUGGCGGACGGGUGAGUAACACGUGGGCAACCUGGCUCAUAGAGGGGGAUAACAGAGAGAAAUUUCUGCUAAUACCGCAUAAGCACACACUGCCGCAUGGCAGAGGGUGAAAAGAGAAUCGCUAUGAGAUGGACCCGCGUCUGAUUAGCCAGUUGGCAGGGUAAGAGCCUACCAAAGCGACGAUCAGUAGCCGAUCUGAGAGGAUGAACGGCCACAUUGGGACUGAGACACGGCCCAAACUCCUACGGGAGGCAGCAGUGGGGGAUAUUGCACAAUUGGGGGAACCCUGAUGCAGCGACGCCGCGUGAGUGAAGAAGUAUUUCGGUAUGUAAAGCUCUAUCAGCAGGGAAGAUAAUGACAGUACCUGAAUAAGAAGCCCCGGCUAACUACGUG